AUGAUAAUGGUGGCGAUUAUGACAGAGAUAUUAGAAGAGUACGCAGCUGUGCUGACAAGAGCAACAGAACGCUUCCUGUCACGAAAAGGUAUGAGUUUUGAAGAUCUAACCAGUAGGAAUUUUCGUUUUGGUUCUUCAACCUCUUCUUCAGAUUCUACUUCUUUUCUUGUUUACUUUUGA
Molecule: long non-coding RNA, 180 nt
Filed under: Vicia faba (fava bean)
Lineage: Eukaryota; Viridiplantae; Streptophyta; Magnoliopsida; Fabales; Fabaceae
Source: RNAcentral